This 224-nucleotide unclassified non-coding RNA is filed under the name rhizosphere metagenome. Its description in RNAcentral is "partial ribosomal RNA internal transcribed spacer region". The record is from RNAcentral.
GUAGGUGAACCUGCGGAAGGAUCAUUAUCAAUUUAACAGUUCGUGGGAUAGACGCUCGUAAGGCUACCCUUCCCACGCUGUUUCAACCCUUUGUCUUUUGCGUACUGUAUGUUUCCUCGGCGGGUUCGCUCGCCGAUAGGACACUUCAAAACCUUUUGUAAUUGCAAUCAGCGUCAGAAAAACUAUAAUAGUUACAACUUUCAACAACGGAUCUCUUGGUUCUG